UGGGGAAUUUUCCGCAAUGGGCGAAAGCCUGACGGAGCAAUGCCGCGUGAGUGAAGAAGGGUUUCGGCUCGUAAAGCUCUGUUGUUAAAGAAGAACGUGGGUAAGAGUAACUGUUUACCCAGUGACGGUAUUUAACCAGAAAGCCACGGCUAACUACGUGCUAG
This 164-nucleotide ribosomal RNA is filed under the name uncultured bacterium. Its description in RNAcentral is "partial 16S rRNA". It matches the Rfam family "Bacterial small subunit ribosomal RNA", at positions 355 to 511 of the family's 1533-position model. The record is from RNAcentral.